Molecule: long non-coding RNA, 594 nt
Organism: Papilio xuthus (Asian swallowtail)
Lineage: Eukaryota; Metazoa; Arthropoda; Insecta; Lepidoptera; Papilionidae
Exons: 2
Source: RefSeq, a predicted model, not a curated record
AUAAAAUCAACUUGCGUUGUGCUAAUGGAAACAGUUUCAAACUGAUAAACAACGAAUAUACAUUUAAUUGACUUGUCUGUGCUUUAUAUAAUAUUAGAAAUGCCGCCGCCCCACGCACUACCUUGCGGGCCAUACUGCGGUACUGGGAACUGUGCACCGCAUUGUUACCACAGGAACAAGAUCACAGUGUAUCCGACGCCGCCGCAAUACCCGCCGACCCACUAUCCACCGCACUAUCCCCAUCAGCCCCCACCUCAUCACCCACAUCAUCCUCCCCCACAUCACCCACAUCAUCCUCCCCCACCGCAUCAUCCUCCCCCACCGCAUCAUCCACAUCAUCCCCCACCACCACAUCAUCCUCAUCCCCCACCACCACAUCAUCACUUACCUCACCACGAUUUGCGGUAGAUCAUCAAGACUGUGUUAAUGUGGACUACGACCUCAAUUUUUCCAUAUCCAAAAUUCCAAGAUCUGUUUAUGAUUCAAUGUUAUCAUUUUUCUAAGUACUCAAUCAUUAGUGAUUAUAAAGAUUACAAAAACCUGAUAAGAUAACAAUGAUUUUUAUGAGAAAUUAAAUGAUUACAAAUGCUAUAA